AAUAUCAAAGGUGAGCCAGUACAGGAUGGACCCGCGUCUGAUUAGCUAGUUGGUAAGGUAACGGCUUACCAAGGCGACGAUCAGUAGCCGACCUGAGAGGGGGAUCGGCCACAUUGGAACUGAGACACGGUCCAAACUCCUACGGGAGGCAGCAGUGGGGAAUAUUGCACAAUGGGCGAAAGCCUGAUGCAGCAACGCCGCGUGAGUGAUGAAGGCCUUCGGGUCGUAAAACUCUGUCCUCAAGGAAGAUAAUGACGGUACUUGAGGAGGAAGCCC
This 276-nucleotide ribosomal RNA is filed under the name Clostridioides difficile. RNAcentral's name for it is "partial 16S ribosomal RNA". It matches the Rfam family "Bacterial small subunit ribosomal RNA", at positions 197 to 493 of the family's 1533-position model. Lineage: Bacteria; Bacillati; Bacillota; Clostridia; Peptostreptococcales; Peptostreptococcaceae. The record is from RNAcentral.